GACGAACGCUGGCGGCGUGCUUAACACAUGCAAGUCGAACGGAAAGGCCCUGCUUUUGUGGGGUGCUCGAGUCGCGAACGGGUGAGUAACACGUGAGUAACCUGCCCUUGACUUUGGGAUAACUUCAGGAAACUGGGGCUAAUACCGGAUAGGAGCUCCUGCUGCAUGGUGGGGGUUGGAAAGUUUCGGCGGUUGGGGAUGGACUCGCGGCUUACCAGCUUGUUGGUGGGGUAGUGGCUUACCAAGGCUUUGACGGGUAGCCGGCCUGAGAGGGUGACCGGCCACAUUGGGACUGAGAUACGGCCCAGACUCCUACGGGAGGCAGCAGUGGGGAAUAUUGCACAAUGGGCGGAAGCCUGAUGCAGCAACGCCGCGUGCGGGAUGACGGCCUUCGGGUUGUAAACCGCUUUCGCCUGUGACGAAGCGUGAGUGACGGUAAUGGGUAAAGAAGCACCGGCUAACUACGUG
This 468-nucleotide ribosomal RNA is filed under the name uncultured bacterium. RNAcentral's name for it is "partial 16S ribosomal RNA". It matches the Rfam family "Bacterial small subunit ribosomal RNA", at positions 28 to 507 of the family's 1533-position model. The record is from RNAcentral.